GCCUGCCUAGUUUGUCUCUCAACUCUCUCUGUGUAGUAUUGGAUUGAUACUCAGGGUUGGCGUUACUGGUAGAGGGAACUGCUGUGUUGUCAGGACAAAAGUUGACUGUAUGGGCUGCUGACGAGCAUAUGGCACAAGAAGGCGUCUUGAGACCCGCAAAAUGCCUAAGGAACAGUUUGGUGUCUAACUGACCCCAGUCGGUGUUAGUAUUGUAUUGGGUGAGU
Molecule: non-coding RNA, 224 nt
Organism: Pelobates cultripes (western spadefoot toad)
Lineage: Eukaryota; Metazoa; Chordata; Amphibia; Anura; Pelobatidae
Source: the annotation of a GenBank genome assembly